UUCUUUACCCCCAGUGACGACUUGCCGGGUGUCGAUCAGUGCUUUUGCGGUUGCGAAAAAAAUAGUUUUAUUUCUUUCGAGUUAAGGUGUUCUCCGGAGAAAUGACAUUGCAUUCGCUCAGCGCCAUGUGCCAACAAGAUGUAAUAUAUAUUGGAACUCGGAUCACUCUGGUUAACCUACCCGCCUGGUCGGCUGCUCCAGCAUACGUUCCAAGUGUUCCAACUGUUCCAACUUUCAACUAUUGGAGCAUGUUGGAAGUUGGGACCGGUACAUGUUACGGCGACGACGUUCUGUCUUGACUGUUGCUGCUGGCUGCAAUGUCCCAGCUGGCGAGUGCUGUCGUGGAUUACAUCGCGUCACGCGUACCUGUUGAUAGUAGAAGCCAGGCUGCAGUGCUACCGGUGUCUGUGGAUUAUACUUGCAAAGAAGAAGCUCUUGAGGAAUUUCCUGAAGCACGUGCACUUUAUAUACGUGGACUUCAAACAUAAAGGUAUCCGGCCGUCGUGCUCUGUGUCACGUGACCCACUGCGACAGCAGCCACUAGAGACAUGAAUGCGUGUGGGAGCUCCACGAUGGAAGCGUUCUCA
Molecule: long non-coding RNA, 587 nt
Organism: Rhipicephalus sanguineus (brown dog tick)
Lineage: Eukaryota; Metazoa; Arthropoda; Arachnida; Ixodida; Ixodidae
Exons: 4
Source: RefSeq, a predicted model, not a curated record